CUUCACUCGAGGGAUCAUUAAGAGGACAAAGAAUCAAGGUGAACCCAUCUCAUGCUCACAAAUGUUUGGGGGGCCGCAAUGGGCCAAGAGCCUGAGGUUCCACGGUAAACAUGGAUAGUGUAUAUUGGAGAUCAAGUCUACUAGAUCAUGUUUGUAUCCAUGAAAAAUUAAGAGAAAAGGAGCCACAUUUUGAGUUUAGAUUAUGGAUAAAGGAACUUAGGAAACCAGUUAUUGAAGAUGAGUAGUGCACUGUCUGCAGAAGAAGUUCCUGUACUACUACUCAGCAUGAGUAGAAGAUCGAAGAACUCUCCCCUAAGCCAGACUUGAAAAGCUUUCAUCUAUCUUAUUACCUUUGUGCAAUGGGAGAAUUGGGGGAGGAUAGAGCAAAGCAUUAAAAAAUAAAUUAUGG
This 409-nucleotide long non-coding RNA is filed under the name Phascolarctos cinereus (koala). Its description in RNAcentral is "lncRNA (ENSPCIG00000000861.2)". Lineage: Eukaryota; Metazoa; Chordata; Mammalia; Diprotodontia; Phascolarctidae. The record is from RNAcentral.